AGAGGGCUGCUAAGCAGGUUACUCCGAUAUAGUAAAAUGUAAGAAAGAUUAUUUUUCCUCGGUA
Molecule: transfer RNA, 64 nt
Filed under: Schistosoma malayensis
Lineage: Eukaryota; Metazoa; Platyhelminthes; Trematoda; Strigeidida; Schistosomatidae
Description: tRNA-Ile
Source: RNAcentral